This is a non-coding RNA of Macaca mulatta (Rhesus monkey), 693 nucleotides long. The record is from RefSeq and is a predicted model, not a curated record. NCBI's taxonomy places the organism in Eukaryota, Metazoa, Chordata, Mammalia, Primates, Cercopithecidae.
AUUGAAUUAAUUACAUUUUCUUAUAGGCUUAUCAGUUUACCCCAUCUUUGUUAAAAUAACAUGCACUGCCCUACAAAAUGAAUGCCUUAUUCACAAUCAUGUUUCUGCCACAUUCUUAAAGAUUUGGGGAAACAAAUGCAAUCUAAAAUCAGAGACUCCAUGUUCAAUGCCAAAGGUACACACCUCUAUUUUUUUCCCCAACGAGCCCCUUGGAAAAGUCUUUGAAUUACAUAUUAAAGUGCGCUUCAAGGAAAUGUGAUCUUUUCGUUUAUAGCUGGUGAACAGCAUGCAAUUUGAUAGCACCGUCACUAACAAUCAGAGACUGCUCUGGAUCUAAGUACUAAAAAUGACCCACACUGCAAUCGCAAAAUACUUGGAAGUGGGAAUUUAUUGAACAAAGUUAGGCCGGGACUCUAAAGCAACACUUGAUUCUUUAGCUCCAAGACGACGACGUUUAAACGAAGGUGGUGGGAACAUACAGAGACCUACAGUGAAGAUGGCCAUGAGACAAGGGAGGCAGAGUCUGGAGUUACGCUGCCUACGGUCACGGAAUGCCAAGGAGAGCUGGAAACCACCAGAAGCUAAGAAGGAGAUUUUACCUGAAAGCCUCCCAAAGAAAUCAAUCAUACUCACACCUCCCUUUUGAAUUUCUGGCCUUGUGAACUGUGAAAAAAUAAAUUUCUAUCGUCUUAA